RNAcentral lists this long non-coding RNA (3864 nucleotides) under Homo sapiens (human). RNAcentral describes it as "HSALNT0308801". Lineage: Eukaryota; Metazoa; Chordata; Mammalia; Primates; Hominidae. The record is from RNAcentral.
AUCUCAAAAUCAGCAGCUUUGGUAGUGCUGUGACUUUCGGUUUCUCUGAAAGUGUUCCUCAAAGAAGCCAGUAUUUGAAUUGUUUGCUACUCAGCCACGAAGAGAUAAGAAGCCUGUGUCAGAAUGCAUGUGAACACGCUGCUUGCUUCCUAGAAGCCUUGCUUUGAAAAAGAAGGUCUGCCCAUCCACAUCAUUUUGGCUGAAUGCGUGACCUAUCCAAUCCUUCCUCUCAUGGAAACACCAACUCAUCCAUGCCCUCUGUGCUGAAACUUCGUCUCAGCCUGCUGGAAUCACCUGCACCCCAUGGGAACUGUAGCCAUAUCUUCAGUCCUGUGAGCCCCCGUCAUGGCCUGUCACAGGAGUAAAUGAGGAGUAAGGCCCAGAAUACUCAGUACCUCUCAAUGACCCUCAGACGCUGUAGGAAGAGGAUUGGUUCACCUUUUAACCCAGAAUUUCUCACAUUGAAUGGACAGGAUGCAUUCCAAGAGGCCAGAGUAUGUGCAUCUCAGCUCCUGAUGGUUUCCACCACCACCAUUACUUUCUCUAUGUCAAGAUACCUGGGAAGCCGGUGUUUCAUUUGCAUUCUUGGAGCCCAGGAACUGUCUUCUACAAACUUUUCUUCCUAGUACCAUGUAAACGUACACAGGAAACGUUCAGAAAACAUCAGCCAAAUAGAAGAAUAAGGAAAUUCCUUCACUGACUAGAUAUUGGUGUUUGAUUCUGUCCUGCUUUGUACUCAAUGGCUAUUUCGGGGUUUCCAUUGCGGAAAACUAUUUGGAAAAUUGCAAGCCACGAGACAAGCCUCUAAGCUACUCCAGGAUCAUUGAGGACUCUCCAUGGGUUCUUAUUGUUAAAGAUCUUAACUCCUCAAGCCACUGCAUUUUUACUAUAUGCCUUGAACUACAAGAUGUGUUAAGAUUUAUAGGAUAAGGUUCUCAUCUCUAAAAACUCAUGGUCUCGAUGGAGAAGCAGUAUUUACACACAUGGAGAAGUUGAGAGUACUUGAAUGUGGAGUAUAAAGUGUGCGAUAUUGACAAGAAGCUCUACGAAAGUUCAGGAAGAGGAGGAGCAAGUGAGGAUGGAGAUGGACUUUGCAGAAUGGAGGAGAGGCAAAGAAACGGUUAGAAACAAUCUACAUAAUGAAAAGUCACUUUUGGGAGUUGUUUUAAGGCAGAGUAUCAUAUCGCAUCAAAACCGCUCCAUAAGUCCUGCCACUCCACGUGCAAUGCCAUGAACUUGAAGAAACUGCUGGUAAGAGAAAGCAAAUGCUGUGACCAGGCAAGUUAGAAGAAUCUUGGUCGUCCAGAAAGCUUGCUAUAGCUGCCCAGCAUUUGCCUCCUCCACAAAGAAGGACCAAAAGAACAAGUAGACAAUCACAUGCCAAAUAAAAUGUCUAAAGGAGAGCACUGAAGCUCAGCAAAAACGUUACAAAGACCCUCUGAGGUGCAGAAACUCGGGAUGGCAGCACAAAGAGGAAAGCAAAGCAGCCGGUCAGGAUCAGCUCACAGUCAAGGGCGCCCCGCCUUGAGUAGGAAAUGUAAGCAGGAGAUGCCCUGCAGGCAACAUUCCCACCACAAAUGCCUGCAAGCCUAGCUGUAGGAGAGCCUCGCAGUGUUGAGCCCAGUGCGGGAGCUGCCUGGAGUCUCUGUGACUACAUUACUCCAGAGAGGCCACUGGGUCCCUCCUUAGUCCCUGGGACCCAAGCCGCUGCAGCACAGUAUCAUUUUGAGGACAGAGCCACUGCCAGAAUGCUUCCUGUCCUGGGGCCCGGUAACCCCUGCAUGUCCUCAUCACUGGAGCCCCAAUAUCAUUCCACAGUUGUAUGAGGAGUAAAAAUAACUAUAAAUAAAGAUAACUCAAGAAUUCUAUAAGCAAGCAUACACAUGAAAUUCAUUUUAUAAGAGGAAAGCUAACUCCAUCUCUCUUGAAAUAUGGAAUAGGUUCUUGAAGCAAUUCUAAAUGCUGAUCUGCUGGAAUGAUGGCUUCAUUGCACAAGAAUUCUGCUUAGUUCAUUGAAGUCUCCUUGAAGAAGUCAGUCUGAGAAUGGGGGAAUUCCGUUGUUGGUCAGAAGAAUUCUUUGGUCACUAUUGGAAGUGGGUUCAGUUUAGGGUGACUAUUGAUCAACAGGGUUCAUGGGUUUGCUAAAACUCAUUUCAGGCAAGCUUUGGAAGUGCAGUUCGCUUGGUGCUUAUGGGGUUAAAAACAGGAGGAAGAGAAUUUCACAUUAUUGGAGGGCCUGAAAGGAAACUGAUUCCCGCAAGAUGCUCAGACAAGAUCAAACCCAGCCCCUUUUCUGGUUUGGAAUUUCUCUGGGCUAUAAAGGUAGAAGAAAAGGCCCUGCAUGGGCCCACUCUAAGUGCUUGGAGGUUUUAGAUAAUUUUAUUAAAUUGUAGAAUCUUAAACAGAACUACAAGGUUGCUUUUAAAACCAGAUCUCAGAUUUCUUUGAGCUAACAAAUGGUAAAAUGUAUCUUUAGUAUUAGAGUGAGAUAAAGGUAGUUAUAACUUUUUUUUUUACUUAUUUUAUGUUAACGUAUGCAACAAAGGGUACAAAUUGUAGGUACGCAGCUCAUUGAACUUUUAUGUCUGCACAUGCCUAUGAAACCAACACCCAGAGUAAGAUGCGGAUAAUUUUCUGCUCCCCUGAAAAUUCCCUUGUGCCUUUUCCUCAUCAGUACCUCCAAAGGUAACCACUAUUUUGAUUUCCAUUACCAUAGAUGAGUUAUACUUGUUUUUGAAAAGAUUAUUUGAAAUGUGUAAUAUAAAUAAUAGCGGUUGCUUAUCUUACAGAAAUAUCACUGAGAAUUCAUUUCUUCUCUCCUUCAUUUAUUCAUUUGUUCAAAACACUGUCUAGUACCAACAUUGUCCACCGGGCGUUGAGAAUACAAUAUUGAAGAAGAGUCACUGCCUGCCCUCUGGAAAAAUCAGAGUAUUUGAAAGAAUACACACAAGUAAACAGGCAGCUAUGGCAAAGUGGGUAAAAGCUGCAAAACAGGGAAGUUUCGCCAAGUGUCAGAUGCCAAGAAGUGUCAGAUGCCAAGAAGAAAGGGUGCAUGACAUAGACUUGGGGGGGUCAGUAGUGGUUUCUGGAACGAGUGACAUUUAGACUGAAACUGGAAGGAUAUGAGUAAGGGCUAAUCGGACCAAGAUGAAGAGAUACAGAAGCAGAAGGAACAGUAGGAACAAAUGCUCAGAGGCAAAAGAAAGCUUUGAAUAUUUGAGGAACUGAAAAGCAAAACAACAAAAAAUAGCCAUCCCUUGACUAGACAAGUGACCUGGGGUCAGAUCCUGAAGGGCUUUGCAGAUCACUUUUCCGCUUGUAGACUUUGUACUUGACUUUAAGGGCCAUGGAGAGCCACUGAAGCAUUUUCAGCAAGGGACUGUCAUCAGCAGAUUGGUAUUUGUUUUGAAGUAGCACAUGUAAGAGAAAAUAACAAUAUGGACAAAUAAAGAGUUUGAAAAACAACUUUGCUUUGAUACUUUAGGAUGAAAUAUCUGAGAUAGCAGCGCCCCCCCCCCCAUCAGCCAUUUUUAAUGACACUACUAUUUGAGCACAAGUUGCAAGAAAAUUUGCAACAAAUAGGCUUUUUCUGUAGAACACAAAGCAGGGAUGUUUGAACGAUGCAUUAUUUGAAUUCCAUCUUAGUAGGAAGCCAUCCAUAAUAGGAGGAAGUUGAGGAAUAGGCCUAAUGUUCACAGUGGCACAGGUGGCGUUUGCAUCUGCCUUCAAUGUUCCUAUGAUACGAAUCCUCCACUGCAGAAAAUUCCUCGUGGAAUUUUCUAUUUUAUGUGUUAAACUUUAUCGAAAUCUUUUCCUGAUGUUUAUAUUUCUGUGAUAAUCAUUAUUAAACUGAAAAAUGCGGAA